Molecule: ribosomal RNA, 886 nt
Filed under: uncultured bacterium
Lineage: Bacteria
Description: bacterial SSU rRNA
Rfam family: Bacterial small subunit ribosomal RNA
Source: RNAcentral
GCAGUAGCNAUACUGAGUGGCAGACGGGUGAGUAACAUGUGGGAAUCUGCCUUGUGGUUCAGGACAACAUUGGGAAACCGAUGCUAAUACUGGAUAAGCCCUUACGGGGAAAGUUUUAAUGCCAUAAGAUGAGCCCGCAUUUGAUUAGUUAGUUGGUGAGGUAAUGGCUCACCAAGACAAUGAUCAAUAGCUGAUCUGAGAGGAUGAUCAGCCACACUGGGACUGAGACACGGCCCAGACUCCUACGGGAGGCAGCAGUGGGGAAUCUUGCACAAUGGAGGAAACUCUGAUGCAGCGAUGCCGCGUGAGUGAAGAAGGCCUUUGGGUUGUAAAGCUCUUUUGUAGGGGAAGAUAAUGACUGUACCCUAAGAAUAAGGUCCGGCUAACUUCGUGCCAGCAGCCGCGGUAAUACGAAGGGACCUAGCGUAGUUCGGAAUUACUGGGCGUAAAGCGCGCGUAGGCCGUUGAGUUAGUUAAUUGUGAAAUCCCAAAGCUUAACUUUGGAACUGCAAUUAAAACUGCUCGACUAGAGUUUGAUAGAGGAAAGCGGAAUACAUAGUGUAGAGGUGAAAUUCGUAGAUAUUAUGUAGAACACCAGUUGCGAAGGCGGCUUUCUGGAUCAACACUGACGCUGAGGCGCGAAAGUAUGGGUAGCAAAGAGGAUUAGAUACCCUCGUAGUCCAUACCAUAAACGAUGAUUGCUAGAUGUUGGAAAUUUAUUUUCAGUAUCGCAGCUAACGCAUUAAGCAAUCCGCCUGGGGAGUACGACCGCAAGGUUAAAACUCAAAUGAAUUGACGGGGACCCGCACAAGCGGUGGAGCAUGUGGNUUUAAUUCGAAGAUACGCGCAGAANCCUUACCNACCCUUGACAUGUCUGUCNCGAGUU